GACGAACGCUGGCGGCGUGCUUAACACAUGCAAGUCGAACGGGAUUUAGUAAAAGGAAUCCUCGGUGGAAGAUUACUAAUGAGAGUGGCGAACGGGUGAGUAACGCGUGAGCAACCUGCCUAUGACAGUGGGAUAGCCUCUGGAAUCCGGGAUUAAUCCCGCAUAAAAUCGUAGAAACACAUGUUUCAACGGUCAAAGAUUUAUCGGUCAUAUAUGGGCUGGCGUCUGAUUAGCUAGUUGGUGAGAUAACAGCCCACCAACGCGACGACCAGUAGCCGGUCUGAGAGGAAGAACGGCGACAUUGGAACUGAGACGCAGUCCAAACUCCUACGGGAGGGAGCAGUGGGGAAUAUUGCAAAAUGGGGGAAACGCAGAUGCAGCGACGCCGCGUGAACGAAGAAGGUAUUCGUAUCGUAAAGUUCUGUCCUAUGGGAAGAUAAUGACAGUACCAUAGAAGAAAGCACCGGCUAAAUACGUG
RNAcentral lists this ribosomal RNA (478 nucleotides) under uncultured bacterium. RNAcentral describes it as "partial 16S ribosomal RNA". It matches the Rfam family "Bacterial small subunit ribosomal RNA", at positions 28 to 507 of the family's 1533-position model. The record is from RNAcentral.